AUGUUCUCCUCGCAGUCGCUCAGUCGCGUAAACAACAUCAGAACCUCUCUGGUGAACGCCCAGAAGGGCAACAAGACCGUCACCACCUACUUUGCCGAGAUGCGCGGCUUCGCCGACGAGCUGGCCGCCGCCGGAAAACCUCUCCAGGAUGAUGAACUCAUCUCCUACAUCCUGCACGGCCUCGACAUGGACUACCAGCCACUCGUCUCCGCCCUCGACACCCGCAUCACCCCGGUAUCCCUCGAUGAGCUUUUUUCAAUGCUUAGCAACUUUGAUCAGAGGGUGGCGCAGUACCAGGGAUCGGGCGGCUUCAAGUCGUCGGCUAACGCCGCGACGCGCGAGCGCGGCGGCUAUGCUCGUCACCGUGGUCCUCCUUGCUCCAAGGGCAAGCAGGGGAGCGGCGGCAGCAACGGCGGGUCCAACUCCCGCAACGGACGUCCCAACUACACCAACACCAGGGGCCGCCGCGGUGGUUCUUCCAGGUCGCGACCGGACGCGGUGCGCUGCAAAAUCUGCGGCAAACCGUGCCACACGGCGAGGGACUGCUAG
This 549-nucleotide ribosomal RNA is filed under the name Triticum aestivum (bread wheat). RNAcentral describes it as "partial small subunit ribosomal RNA". Lineage: Eukaryota; Viridiplantae; Streptophyta; Magnoliopsida; Poales; Poaceae. The record is from RNAcentral.